GUCCCAUUCGUCUAGUGGCCUAGGACGUGUCCCUCUCAAGGACAAAACACGGAUUCGAAUUCCGUAUGGGGCA
Molecule: transfer RNA, 73 nt
Filed under: Pseudomonadota bacterium
Lineage: Bacteria; Pseudomonadati; Pseudomonadota
Also listed under: 2 other names
Description: tRNA-Glu
Rfam family: tRNA
About the family: Transfer RNA (tRNA) molecules are approximately 80 nucleotides in length.
Source: RNAcentral